Non-coding RNA from Paramuricea clavata, 77 nucleotides. Lineage: Eukaryota; Metazoa; Cnidaria; Anthozoa; Malacalcyonacea; Plexauridae. The record is from the annotation of a GenBank genome assembly.
GCCUCUGUAGCUCAGCUGGUUAGAGCGCUGCACCGGAAUCACCUGUAGGGCCGUAGGUUCAAUUCCUACCAGAGGAC